This 458-nucleotide long non-coding RNA is filed under the name Marmota monax (woodchuck). The record is from RNAcentral. Lineage: Eukaryota; Metazoa; Chordata; Mammalia; Rodentia; Sciuridae.
AGAGACUGCAAAGUAGUACAAGCACUUUGGAAAGCAGUAUGGAGAUUCCUCCAAAAACUAGGCAUGGAACACCAUAUUACCCAACCUUUCCACUUCUUGGUAUUUAUCUAAAAGAACUAAACUCAGCACACCAUAGUGAAACAGGUACAUCAAUGUUUAUAGCAGCACAAUUCACAAUAGCCAAUUUAUGGACCAUCCCAGGCGUCCAUCAACAGAUGAAUGGAUAAAGAAUAAUGUGGUGUAUGAAUACACAAUGGAGUUUUAUUUUACUCGGCCACAAAGAAGAAUGAAAUUACGACAUUUCUUGCUAAAUGGAUGAAACUGAAGAACAUCUUAAGAAAUGAAAUAAACAAGACUCAGAAACUCAAGGGUCAAAUGUUUUCUCUCAUGUGUGAAAACUAUAGCAAAAUAAGGGAAAAAGGUUAUAGGGUCCCCAUGAAAAUAGAAGGGAGAUCAGU